Molecule: long non-coding RNA, 226 nt
Filed under: Mytilus galloprovincialis (Mediterranean mussel)
Lineage: Eukaryota; Metazoa; Mollusca; Bivalvia; Mytilida; Mytilidae
Source: RNAcentral
GCCGGAGAAAACGCAUGAUGACACUAUCUUUUCUUUAGAUACUCUCAAAGCAUUUUGUAAAAGCUAUCUUCUCGUAUUUCAUUUUACAAUUCUAUCAUUUGUUUAGCUUCUAAUCACAUAAAUACAUGAUGUGUUUUUCCUGUAUAAUCCAUACACAAUGUGUCAUUUUGUCACAACCUGUCGCUUUUAUAAUAUUUUUGAACAUAUAUCAGUAUAUAGUAAGUUU